AGAAGCUAUGCAAUUAAAACAAAACAACCAGAACAAAGAACAGAGGAAAACAACCAAACCACCCAAAACAUGGCUGUUUUGAAUUAUUAAGGCAAUGGAGAUGAAGACUCACUCCUAGGAUGUUGUGUCAGUUGUCCUUUCUACCUUUAGUGCAUCGGCGAGGAAAGCGGGUAAAAGCAGCUUCAGGGAGCAGAGGCAGCAAGAAGGAAGGUAAACAAUAAAGACACAGAAGCAAGAUGGCAGUGGUGGACGUGAAGAGAGAAGCCAUUGGUAUAGAGGAGCAUCAGAAAGCCUUUCCUGCCUGUGGAGUACAGAAGACAGUAGUGCCGUCCAGCUGAUGAUGUUCAGGCCCAGCAACGGCAUACCACACGGCACUUGCCUCCUUCCAAAUGGUUGUAUGCCCACUCAUCAACAGGAUUUUUUAUUAAAUCAUAUCAGGACUCUGAGGGCAGAAAUGGAUACAAGGAAUUAUUCAUCACCUUUGAUCACCAAUCCAUCUUAUUAAGAAAGCCCACAGGGCCUUGUGUUUGGAUGAGGGGUCCACGCUUAGAACACAUGGGACCAAAUCCAUUCAGUGACUCUGACCAGGAGCAGAAAAUGGAAAUGUUGAAGUGACAGCAGCCAUGACCACUCCCUGCUGGGCUGCACUCAGGAUAACUGUUGCUGAAGAUGAAGUGGAGGUCUCUGCAUUCUGUCCACAUUCUCCUAAGACGGAGAGUAGGUGCUAGCUCUGGGCUUCACUGGUCACACAGAUGGCCCUGGUGAAGCUGGAUGGGUCACAGAAGGGAUGGGUGUUGUGACAAGAGGCAAAGGUUAGUGGGGUUUGGAGAGAGAUAAGGGACGCUACAGGAGUAAAGUAAUCAGAAUGCAUUGUACACAUGCGUGGAGUUGCCAAAGAACAAACCUCA
Molecule: non-coding RNA, 908 nt
Organism: Myodes glareolus (Bank vole)
Lineage: Eukaryota; Metazoa; Chordata; Mammalia; Rodentia; Cricetidae
Source: RefSeq, a predicted model, not a curated record